Molecule: ribosomal RNA, 710 nt
Filed under: Mycobacterium sp.
Lineage: Bacteria; Bacillati; Actinomycetota; Actinomycetes; Mycobacteriales; Mycobacteriaceae
Description: bacterial SSU rRNA
Rfam family: Bacterial small subunit ribosomal RNA
Source: RNAcentral
GUACUCGAGUGGCGAACGGGUGAGUAACACGUGGGUGAUCUGCCCUGCACUUUGGGAUAAGCCUGGGAAACUGGGUCUAAUACCGAAUAUGACCGCGCUCUUCAUGGGGUGUGGUGGAAAGCUUUUGCGGUGUGGGAUGGGCCCGCGGCCUAUCAGCUUGUUGGUGGGGUAAUGGCCUACCAAGGCGACGACGGGUAGCCGGCCUGAGAGGGUGACCGGCCACACUGGGACUGAGAUACGGCCCAGACUCCUACGGGAGGCAGCAGUGGGGAAUAUUGCACAAUGGGCGCAAGCCUGAUGCAGCGACGCCGCGUGAGGGAUGACGGCCUUCGGGUUGUAAACCUCUUUCAAUAGGGACGAAGCGCAAGUGACGGUACCUAUAGAAGAAGGACCGGCCAACUACGUGCCAGCAGCCGCGGUAAUACGUAGGGUCCGAGCGUUGUCCGGAAUUACUGGGCGUAAAGAGCUCGUAGGUGGUUUGUCACGUUGUUCGUGAAAACUCACAGCUUAACUGUGGGCGUGCGGGCGAUACGGGCAGACUAGAGUACUGCAGGGGAGACUGGAAUUCCUGGUGUAGCGGUGGAAUGCGCAGAUAUCAGGAGGAACACCGGUGGCGAAGGCGGGUCUCUGGGCAGUAACUGACGCUGAGGAGCGAAAGCGUGGGGAGCGAACAGGAUUAGAUACCCUGGUAGUCCACGCCGUAAACGGUG